AGAACGAACGCUGGCGGCAUGCCUAACACAUGCAAGUCGAACGCCCCGCAAGGGGAGUGGCGGACGGGUGAGUAACACGUGGGAACCUGCCCAAUGGUCUGGAAUAACCGCGGGAAACUGCGGCUAAUACCGGAUAAGCCCGAGAGGGGAAAGAUUUAUCGCCGAUGGAGGGGCCCGCGUCCGAUUAGGUAGUUGGUGGGGUAACGGCCUACCAAGCCUACGAUCGGUAGCUGGUCUGAGAGGAUGAUCAGCCACACUGGGACUGAGAUACGGCCCAGACUCCUACGGGAGGCAGCAGUGGGGAAUAUUGGACAAUGGGGGCAACCCUGAUCCAGCAAUGCCGCGUGAGUGAUGAAGGCCUUAGGGUUGUAAAGCUCUUUUGGCGGGGACGAUGAUGACGGUACCCGCAGAAUAAGCCCCGGCUAACUUCGCGCCAGCAGCCGC
This 444-nucleotide ribosomal RNA is filed under the name uncultured bacterium. RNAcentral describes it as "SSU rRNA". It matches the Rfam family "Bacterial small subunit ribosomal RNA", at positions 26 to 518 of the family's 1533-position model. The record is from RNAcentral.